AUGGCCAUCUUCGACGAGUUCUAUGUUGGCUCCAUUGUUCUCGGGCGCCUCAACUAUGGGAUCAUCUCUCUCAUCCCCAAGGUCCCCGGGGCGUCCGACAUUCGCCAGUUUCGCCCGAUCACGGUUAUUAAUGUGAUCUUUCGGAUCCUGGCCAAAGGGUACGCCAAUAGGGUGACCCUGCUGGCUGACCGUGUGACUCACCCCAACCAAUCGGCCUUCAUUAAGGGCCGUUACAUCCUGGAUGGGGUCCUUGUCCUCCAUGAAGUCCUUCAUGAGGUCCGCGUCAAACGCCUCAAGGCGGUCUUUCUGAAGAUUGAUUUCCACAAGGCCUACGAUACGGUUAGUUUGUCCUUCCUCCGGGAAGUUCUU
RNAcentral lists this ribosomal RNA (369 nucleotides) under Triticum aestivum (bread wheat). Its description in RNAcentral is "partial small subunit ribosomal RNA". The record is from RNAcentral. Lineage: Eukaryota; Viridiplantae; Streptophyta; Magnoliopsida; Poales; Poaceae.